GCUGGCAGAUAGCUCCCUGCAACUUUCACAUGGUUGCCCUCUGAAGGGAAGCAGGGCUGCGCUAAGUCAGUACCUGGAUGGGGGACCACAUGGGAAAGCUAGGUUGCUGCCCGAA
This is a ribosomal RNA of Danio rerio (zebrafish), 115 nucleotides long. The record is from Ensembl. NCBI's taxonomy places the organism in Eukaryota, Metazoa, Chordata, Actinopteri, Cypriniformes, Danionidae.